RNAcentral lists this long non-coding RNA (828 nucleotides) under Equus caballus (horse). Its description in RNAcentral is "lncRNA (ENSECAG00000055113.1)". Lineage: Eukaryota; Metazoa; Chordata; Mammalia; Perissodactyla; Equidae. The record is from RNAcentral.
GCUUCCGAGAGAGAACCACCUCUGGAAAGAAGGAAGCGAGGAAGAGAGAGCCCUGGUGCACACGAGAAUUUAGAGUUCCAGAAGAGGAGGAGGAUCCAGCAAAGGCAACUGGGAAGGAGUGACUUGGAAGCCGCAGGCCCUGCACGGCUAACUGACCAGCGCACGCCAACACUGCCCCCAACUUUGUGUAACUGACGGUCUUGCGGCUUCAUCCAGGUCACAGUGGAAUCAGAAUUCGAAUCUCCUCUGCUGGCCUCCAUACUUCCAGCUGCACUCCAUGCCUCCAAGCCCAGAACUAGAGAAGUAGCAGAAGGAAUAGGAAGGAGGGCACAGAUAUGAGGAUGCUCCCAAAGAACAGAAUUUGGAACUAAGAGUCAGCCUCUGUCCAGUUCAGACGGGACAAGACCGCCAACCCACCAACUGUGCCUGCUCAGGUGUCCAGUAGGUGAACUCCUGACUUUAGGGAACUAAACAUUCCACCCUCGGAUCAUGCUAAUGCCACCAUUUUGUGACCAUGCAUCCUGUGAAGAGCCAUGAAGCCUGGCUACACUUGUGCAGAUCAACAAUUACCUCACUCCUCCUUGCCUCGAACCAUCUGUCACCAUACUUUAGACCACUUUGCCAGAUUAUCCCAUAAAUAUCCCUAAUCCCCAUGUUUUGGAGAAGCAGAUUUGGGAUUUGUUCUCCUGCCUCCUCACUUGGCUGCCUUGUGAAUAAACCUUUUGUCUGCAGCAAACUUGUCUUGGUGAUUGGCUUUUUGUGGGAUGGGUAAAAUUAACCUGGUUUGGUAACAUAGUCACCAGGCUAGACCAAAAAUGUGGACCUGCC